Molecule: long non-coding RNA, 405 nt
Organism: Xenopus laevis (African clawed frog)
Lineage: Eukaryota; Metazoa; Chordata; Amphibia; Anura; Pipidae
Exons: 3
Source: RefSeq, a predicted model, not a curated record
GACGGAAGCUUCCGCCCAUAUCGCUCUCUGACCACGCCUAUUCCCAUUAACAAGCUGCAGAGUGGGCGGGAAGCGCAGUGACGCCCAUAUCUGAGGCGUUUUAGUCAGAUUUUGUCCUGUUUACCUAACGAGCAGCACUGGGACAAAGUGAUCCUCCCCUCACUGGUCUGAUGACACUUCUUUCAAUUGGGAGAAAUCAACAGAUCGCAAUGAAAGUGAAGCGAGGGGGCGGCAGGUGUGGAGACAGCAGCACAGAGUAAGAGAGAGAGUGAAUCAGCAGUCGCUACACGUUAAGAAUAUUCGACCUUGAGAUUACGCCCGAUUCCUACACACAAGUCCUACAUCCAAAGUCAAUUAAACAUGACACUUUUAUUAUCAUCAUCAUCAAUAUGGUGCCGGUAAGUG